UCGACCUCAGAUCASACGAGACGACCCGCUGAAUUUAA
Molecule: ribosomal RNA, 38 nt
Filed under: Conothele sp. MYG282
Lineage: Eukaryota; Metazoa; Arthropoda; Arachnida; Araneae; Ctenizidae
Description: partial 28S ribosomal RNA
Source: RNAcentral